UAGGGAAUCUUCGGCAAUGGACGAAAGUCUGACCGAGCAACGCCGCGUGAGUGAAGAAGGUUUUCGGAUCGUAAAACUCUGUUGUUAGAGAAGAACAAGGACGUUAGUAACUGAACGUCCCCUGACGGUAUCUAACCAGAAAGCCCCGGCUACCUACGUGCCAGCAGCCGCGGUAAUACGUAGGUGGCAAGCGUUGUCUGGAUUUAUUGGGUGUAAAGCGAGCGCAGGGGGUUUCUUAAGUCUGAUGUGAAAGCCCCCGGCUCAAGCGGGGAGGGUCAUUGGAAACUGGGAGACUUGAGUGCAGAAGAGGAGAGUGGAAUUCCAUGUGUAGCGGAGAAAUGCGUAGAUAUAUGGAGGAACACCAGUGGCGAAGGCGGCUCUCUGGUCUGUAACUGACGCUGAGGCUCGAAAGCGUGGGGAGCAAACAGG
RNAcentral lists this ribosomal RNA (429 nucleotides) under Gemmatimonadota bacterium. Its description in RNAcentral is "Gemmatimonadetes bacterium partial 16S ribosomal RNA". It matches the Rfam family "Bacterial small subunit ribosomal RNA", at positions 355 to 776 of the family's 1533-position model. The record is from RNAcentral. Lineage: Bacteria; Pseudomonadati; Gemmatimonadota.